Molecule: transfer RNA, 67 nt
Filed under: bovine gut metagenome
Rfam family: tRNA
About the family: Transfer RNA (tRNA) molecules are approximately 80 nucleotides in length. Their secondary structure includes four short double-helical elements and three loops (D, anti-codon, and T loops). Further hydrogen bonds mediate the characteristic L-shaped molecular structure. tRNAs have two regions of fundamental functional importance: the anti-codon, which is responsible for specific mRNA codon recognition, and the 3' end, to which the tRNAs corresponding amino acid is attached (by aminoacyl-tRNA synthetases). tRNAs cope with the degeneracy of the genetic code in two manners: having more than one tRNA (with a specific anti-codon) for a particular amino acid; and 'wobble' base-pairing, i.e. permitting non-standard base-pairing at the 3rd anti-codon position.
Source: RNAcentral
CCGUAGCCCAGCUGGAUAGAGCAGUGGACUUCUAAUCCGAAGGUCAAGGGUUCGAAUCCCUUCGGGC